GUCAAGGAAGAGCAAUUGGUUCGCUCAUUAGGCUUAUGCUCCAAAAAUUGUAAGUUCGAAUCUUACACUCGAUA
This 74-nucleotide transfer RNA is filed under the name Thalassiosira nordenskioeldii. RNAcentral's name for it is "tRNA-Ile". It matches the Rfam family "tRNA". Rfam says of the family: Transfer RNA (tRNA) molecules are approximately 80 nucleotides in length. Their secondary structure includes four short double-helical elements and three loops (D, anti-codon, and T loops). Lineage: Eukaryota; Bacillariophyta; Thalassiosirophyceae; Thalassiosirales; Thalassiosiraceae. The record is from RNAcentral.